AGUGAGCGCUGGCGGUAGGCCUAACACAUGCAAGUCGAACGGCAGCACAGUAAGAGCUUGCUCUUACGGGUGGCGAGUGGCGGACGGGUGAGGAAUACAUCGGAAUCUACUUUUUCGUGGGGGAUAACGUAGGGAAACUUACGCUAAUACCGCAUACGACCUACGGGUGAAAGCAGGGGAUCUUCGGACCUUGCGCGAUUGAAUGAGCCGAUGUCGGAUUAGCUAGUUGGCGGGGUAAAGGCCCACCAAGGCGACGAUCCGUAGCUGGUCUGAGAGGAUGAUCAGCCACACUGGAACUGAGACACGGUCCAGACUCCUACGGGAGGCAGCAGUGGGGUAUAUUGGACAAUGGGCGCAAGCCUGAUCCAGCCAUACCGCGUGGGUGAAGAAGGCCUUCGGGUUGUAAAGCCCUUUUGUUGGGAAAGAAAAGCAGCAGGUUAAUACCCCGCUGUUCUGACGGUACCCAAAGAAUAAGCACCGGCUAACUUCGUG
Molecule: ribosomal RNA, 492 nt
Filed under: uncultured bacterium
Lineage: Bacteria
Description: partial 16S ribosomal RNA
Rfam family: Bacterial small subunit ribosomal RNA
Source: RNAcentral